RNAcentral lists this ribosomal RNA (354 nucleotides) under Entamoeba coli. Its description in RNAcentral is "SSU rRNA". It matches the Rfam family "Eukaryotic small subunit ribosomal RNA", at positions 76 to 394 of the family's 1831-position model. Lineage: Eukaryota; Evosea; Mastigamoebida; Endamoebidae. The record is from RNAcentral.
GUAAGAUGAAGCUGCGAACGGCUCAUUACAACAGUUAUAACUUUUUGAUGAAAUACGUACAAGGAUAUCUUUGAGAAUGUCAAAGCUAAUACUUGACGGGUAACGCCUUCAGUCGAGUGUAUUCCUCCGGGAGUAUAAUCUACUGAGGAGGGGAGGACCCCCAAGGUCCUUUCAAUAUAUUACCACUUCUUUGUGAAUAAGGGUGGAUUAUAUGCCAAGAGAAUUGUAGAAAUCGAGAGAUUUUCACAAGUCAUCAUAAGAAUAUCUGACCUAUCAACUGGUUGUUGGUAAGGUAGUGGCUUACCAAGGUGAUAACGGGUAACGAGGAAUAAGGGUUCGACAUCGGAGAGGGAG